CUGGAAGGGAUGGUAGGGCUAAUAGGGAUGGUAGGGAUGGUAGAGAUGUAUGCUGGCAGGGCUGGAAUGGCUGGUAGGGAUGGUAGGGCUGGUAGGGAUGUAAUCUGGUAGGACUGGUAGGGCUGGUAGGGAUGUAUGCUGGUAGAGCUGGUAGAGAUGUUAGGGCUGGUAGGGAUGGUAGGGCUAAUAGGGAUGGUAGGCUGAUAGGGAUGGUAGGGCUAAUAGGGAUGGUAGGGCUGAUAGGGACAGUAGUGCUGGUAGAGCUUGUAUUGUUGAUUGGGCUGUUAGGGAUGGUAGGGAUGGUAGUGAUGUAUGAUGUAGGGACGGUAGGGAUGGCAUGGACGGUAGGGAUGGUAGGGAUGGUAGGGAUAGUAGGGAUGGUAGGGAUCGUAUGGAUAGUAGUGAUG
This 407-nucleotide long non-coding RNA is filed under the name Salmo salar (Atlantic salmon). Its description in RNAcentral is "lncRNA (ENSSSAG00000111270.1)". The record is from RNAcentral. Lineage: Eukaryota; Metazoa; Chordata; Actinopteri; Salmoniformes; Salmonidae.